AAAAAUGAUGAAUAACAAUAAUAACGAUAAUGAUAAUGAUAAUAGUAAUGAAUAAUAAUACUAAUAGUAAUAAUUAGUAACUUAAGAAUAAUUAAUAAUAAUAAUAAGGAAAAAGAAAAAAAAUAGAAAAAAUGAAAAUUAGAAAAAAGGAUGGGGCGAUUGAUUAAGAAGUAGAGAGACAUUUUUAUGAAAUUUCAAAAUGCAAAAAAUCUCCUCUCAUCAGACGACAUGUGUCAAAGGAAGUUUAAGAAAUAAUACAAAAAAU
This 265-nucleotide long non-coding RNA is filed under the name Lathyrus oleraceus (garden pea). RNAcentral's name for it is "Pisum sativum (pea) long non-coding RNA (PSAT_LNC004620)". The record is from RNAcentral. Lineage: Eukaryota; Viridiplantae; Streptophyta; Magnoliopsida; Fabales; Fabaceae.